This 472-nucleotide ribosomal RNA is filed under the name uncultured bacterium. RNAcentral's name for it is "partial 16S ribosomal RNA". It matches the Rfam family "Bacterial small subunit ribosomal RNA", at positions 30 to 507 of the family's 1533-position model. The record is from RNAcentral.
AGUGAACGCUGGCGGUAGGCCUAACACAUGCAAGUCGAACGGCAGCACAGUAAGAGCUUGCUCUUACGGGUGGCGAGUGGCGGACGGGUGAGGUAUACAUCGGAAUCUACUUUUUCGUGGGGGAUAACGUAGGGAAACUUACGCUAAUACCGCAUACGACCUACGGGUGAAAGCAGGGGAUCUUCGGACCUUGCGCGAGUGAACGGGCCGGUGUCGGAUUAGCUGGUUGGCGGGGUAGUGGCCCACCAAGGCGUUGAUGGGUAGCCGGCCUGAGAGGGUGAGCGGCCAAAGUGGGACUGAGAUACGGCACAGACUGCUACGGGAGGCAGCAGGGGGGAAUAGUGAACAAUGGGCGGAAGCCUGAUGCAGAAACGCCGCGUGCGGGAUGACGGCCUUCGGGUUGUAAACCGCCUUCGCCUGUGACGAAGCGUGAGUGACGGUAAUGGGUAAAGAAGCACCGGCUAACUACGUG